This is a non-coding RNA of Callithrix jacchus (white-tufted-ear marmoset), 163 nucleotides long. Lineage: Eukaryota; Metazoa; Chordata; Mammalia; Primates; Cebidae. The record is from Rfam.
AUACUUACCUGACAGAGGAGAUACCAUGAUCACAAAGGUGGUUUUCCCAGGGUGAGGCUUAUCCAUUGCCCUCCAGAUGUGCUGACCCCUGUGAUUUCCCUUUUUCUAUAUUAAAAUUUUUUUUAAAAAAAGAUCAGCUAAUUAAUAACCUUAAUUUCUUAUA